GUGAGUCUAUGGAAGAGGGUGAGAACCAUGAGCCACCUAGGUUUUGUUUUGAAGUCAAUGUACCCAGAGAAGGACGGAAGCUCGCUCUCCUCUGGCUACUCCAUGGUGCUACCCUACAGAGUGCUGUUGAGGCAACUGUAGACCUUCAUUGCAAAUAGCGUUUUAAUCAAUUAUUUGGUUUUUAGUUUGAUCUCAAAAGGAUAACCUUUUAAAUGUUUUACUAUUUUUAUUUUUAUGAAAUUCACUGAGGAUGGUCCUCCCCUUCCUCCUCUCAGGAGCCUCCACUGAUAUAGGAGGUUUGGUCUACAUGAAGCAUCAUCUUUACAGAGAAUGAGACAGAGCAACAGAGACAGCAUUCAUCUGAUUUCAUCUCAUCACUAAUGCCCAAAAGGUCACAAGGUACAGGGGAGCUGGAUGGGGUACCUUGCCCGUGUGUCAGACAAGAUGGACUUGCUUCAUUCCUUUCCAUACAUAAAGAAGCUGUCUCAAACUCAACACAUGCCUGCCUGCCUUUGCCGCCUGUGAGCGUCUUUUUACAUGUGCUGGACUACUCUUCACUGCAAAGCGAGCCAGGAAAGACUAGAUUCACUUUGAAAAUCAGCUCCUGCUAAAACAGAACAGAAAGUUCAGAGAGAAGGGAAGGCGUUAGCCCAACAUCAACAUAUAUGAAAAUGGCGAGUUUCUAUGUUUUGUAGUAUAAAAGAUAAAGAUCUACAACUACCGCCACUCAAGAGGGAUCCUUGCUGCAAGAUGGGGGAUCCUGGGAUGAGCCCUCGAUGUUGCCCCAGAGAAAGCUGAGAGACCAUUGUGAAGGCCUGCAUGGCAUACCACCACUACCUUUGCAACAUAGACACU
Molecule: long non-coding RNA, 855 nt
Filed under: Salmo salar (Atlantic salmon)
Lineage: Eukaryota; Metazoa; Chordata; Actinopteri; Salmoniformes; Salmonidae
Description: lncRNA (ENSSSAG00000119846.1)
Source: RNAcentral